RNAcentral lists this ribosomal RNA (18 nucleotides) under Sticta corymbosa. RNAcentral describes it as "partial 18S ribosomal RNA". Lineage: Eukaryota; Fungi; Ascomycota; Lecanoromycetes; Peltigerales; Lobariaceae. The record is from RNAcentral.
CGUAGGUGAACCUGGGGA